Molecule: ribosomal RNA, 424 nt
Filed under: uncultured bacterium
Lineage: Bacteria
Description: bacterial SSU rRNA
Rfam family: Bacterial small subunit ribosomal RNA
Source: RNAcentral
UGAGGAAUAUUGGGCAAUGGGCGCAAGCCUGACCCAGCCAUGCCGCGUGAAGGAUGAAGGCUCUACGAGUCGUAAACUUCUUUUGUACGGGACUAAACCGCUCUACGUGUAGGGCAUUGAAUGUACUGUAUGAAUAAGCAUCGGCUAACUCCGUGCCAGCAGCCGCGGUAAUACGGAGGAUGCAGGCGUUAUCCGGAUUUAUUAGGUUUAAAGGGUGCGUAGGCGGGCUUAUAAGUCAGUGGUGAAAUCCUACAGCUUAACUGUAGAACUGCCAUUGAAACUGUAGACCUUGAAUGUAGUUGAGGUGGGCGGAAUAUGUAAUGUAGCGGUGAAAUGCAUAGAUAUUACAUAGAACACCGAUUGCGAAGGCAGCUCACUAAACUAUGAUUGACGCUGAGGCACGAAAGCGUGGGGAUCAAACAGG